GAUGAAGAACGUAGCGAAAUGCGAUAAGUAAUGUGAAUUGCAGAAUUCAGUGAAUCAUCGAAUCUUUGAACGCACAUUGCGCCCGCCAGCACUCUGGCGGGCAUGCCUGUUCGAGCGUCAUUUCAACCAUCAAGCCCCCAGGGGCUUGUGCUGGGGCCCUGCGGCUGCCCGCAGGCCCUGAAAACCAGUGGCGGGCUCGCUAGUCACACCGAGCGCAGUAGCACAUCUCGCUCAGGGCGUGCGGCGGGCUCCUGCCGUGAAACCCCCCACUGUAACCCCAAAGGUUGACCUUGGAUCAGGUAGGAAUACCCGCUGAACUUAAGCAUAUCAAUAAGCGGAGGA
RNAcentral lists this unclassified non-coding RNA (342 nucleotides) under soil metagenome. Its description in RNAcentral is "partial contains 5.8S ribosomal RNA, internal transcribed spacer 2, and large subunit ribosomal RNA". The stretch from base 1 to 120 matches the Rfam family "5.8S ribosomal RNA", at positions 35 to 154 of the family's 154-position model. The record is from RNAcentral.